GGGUGAGUAACACGUGGAUAACCUACCUAUAAGACUGGGAUAACUUCGGGAAACCGGAGCUAAUACCGGAUAAUAUUUUGAACCGCAUGGUUCAAAAGUGAAAGACGGUCUUGCUGUCACUUAUAGAUGGAUCCGCGCUGCAUUAGCUAGUUGGUAAGGUAACGGCUUACCAAGGCAACGAUGCAUAGCCGACCUGAGAGGGUGAUCGGCCACACUGAACUGAGACACGGUCCAG
Molecule: ribosomal RNA, 235 nt
Filed under: uncultured Staphylococcus sp.
Lineage: Bacteria; Bacillati; Bacillota; Bacilli; Caryophanales; Staphylococcaceae
Description: partial 16S ribosomal RNA
Rfam family: Bacterial small subunit ribosomal RNA
Source: RNAcentral